ACAAGCCAAGGGAUGCCUGAUAGCUACAGAUGGUCUGAGAGCAGCUUUACACCUUGUACAGCAGCACUGGGUCCUGAUGCCAUACUGACAGACAUUCCACUGUCUCUGACUGCAGUAUCAUGGGCUGAAUUCCCAACAUAAUUUACAGCAGCAUCAGAGACAUUCAUGGAAUAGUUUGAUCCAGCAGACACCAAUUAUAUCAGGCAUCUGAGCACCUUGUGAGAUCUUGAUGGAGUCAUGGAGAAAGUGCAGUGGAAUUUGCUUUAUUCUUUUUAUUAUUCUGUCCAUACUGGAGGAAAUGGAUAUUCACCCUAUUCACCUCCUGAGUGGAGAGCAGAAAAGAAAGAGACUGUCAGCUGCACCCUUCAGCAAACCUGUGGAUGUGGGAGUUCCACAUCAACUCAGUCAUUAGGUAAG
This 417-nucleotide long non-coding RNA is filed under the name Cyanistes caeruleus (blue tit). RNAcentral describes it as "lncRNA (ENSCCEG00000010451.1)". The record is from RNAcentral. Lineage: Eukaryota; Metazoa; Chordata; Aves; Passeriformes; Paridae.